Molecule: long non-coding RNA, 416 nt
Organism: Hevea brasiliensis (rubber tree)
Lineage: Eukaryota; Viridiplantae; Streptophyta; Magnoliopsida; Malpighiales; Euphorbiaceae
Exons: 3
Source: RefSeq, a predicted model, not a curated record
UCAUCUUCAACCUCACUCAUCCCUUAGCCGAAUUCCAUUUUCUCUCAAAGGACCUCCAUAGCCGUUCCAUGCACAAGCUUUCUCUCUCCAUGAUCAAGCCAUUUUCCUUCUAAGUUCCUUCAUUAAAAGUGGUCUACACAACUUGGCAAAGAUAUUGGCAGUAAGAAAGAAGAGAUUUGGUGAGUUUUUAGAAAGAUUCAAAAUAGUUGGAAAGGGAUCUUCAAAGAAGGAAAGAAAAUUGGAUUAAAUCAAGUCAACAAAAGAGGUGAAAGAAAGAAUAGAACAGCCAAGUGAGAUCACUUGAAGCUGUGACUUGAAGAUAGACUGGGAUAAAUUUUGAGUAUAUUGUAUGUAUACCCGUAUGCAUUAGUUUAUAAUGUAAUCAUACAUUAUAUGUAUGUAAGCACGUUUGAGCA